GUACACGCUGUGACUAGCAUAUCAAUAAGCGGAGGAAAAGAAACUAACAAGGAUUCCCCUAGUAACGGCGAGUGAAGCGGGAAGAGCUCAAAUUUGAAAUCUUAAAGGGUUUCCCUUUACGAAUUGUAGUUUAAAGAAGUGUUUUCUGUUGAGGUUUUGGUAAAAGUUCUUUGGAAUAGGACAUCAUAGAGGGUGAGAAUCCCGUAUUUGACCUUUACUUUCAACUUUGUGAUACACUUUCAAAGAGUCGGAUUGUUUGGGAAUGCAGUCCAAAAUGGGUGGUAAAUUUCAUCUAAAGCUAAAUAUUGGCGAGAGACCGAUAGCGAACAAGUACCGUGAGGGAAAGAUGAAAAGAACUUUGAAAAGAGAGUUAAACAGUACGUGAAAUUGUCAAAAGGGAAGCGUUUGACACCAGUGUUGUUUUUCUGAAAAUCAAUUAAAGAACUGUUUAUGCUAAGCUGUUUAGACUUUAUCAGCUAAUCUGUUUAGUUUUGAGCUUUUCUUUAAUGCACUUUUCAGUUAACAAGUCAACAUCAAUUUCUUUUGCUGUAAAAAAGCUUGAGGAAGGUGGCUUGAGAUUCGUCUUAAGUGUUUAUAGCCUCUUGCCUAUGCAGUCGGAGAGAUUGAGGUCUGCAGCGUAGAUCCCUUCGGGGCUAAAUGCAUUUGUGCUAAGUUAUAGCAUUUUAUAGACAACUUGUUGACUAUGAUUUGUCUUGUAGCUUACUCGCUUAUGUUAUUUUACCUACGCUUAGGAUGUUGAAGAUGUAGCACAUCA
This 775-nucleotide ribosomal RNA is filed under the name uncultured Neocallimastigales. RNAcentral describes it as "partial large subunit ribosomal RNA". It matches the Rfam family "Eukaryotic large subunit ribosomal RNA", at positions 22 to 642 of the family's 3401-position model. The record is from RNAcentral. Lineage: Eukaryota; Fungi; Neocallimastigomycota; Neocallimastigomycetes; Neocallimastigales.